AGGCAGCCAUGGAAGAAAUAAGCAAAAAGACGGAUACGCCCUUGGAUUUGGAUCCAUUGCUGCUUUUAUGAUAAGUGAUGGAAUCACACUACUGUUGGAAGCUCUUUCUUCUUUUAAGGGAGUCAUUUAGGAGAUAGCUUGCUAGUGCAGUUCCUUGAACUCUAAGAUGAGCUUCAUUAUUAAUUAUUAUUAAUAUAAAUUGUUUUCAUAAUGUUUCAGUAGGGUUGUUGGAGUGCUAGCCAAAAGUUGAGAAAUCCAUCUAUCAGAAUCAUUUUUCCCACCAUUGAGAGGGUAAAAAUGCCAAGUUGUGGACUUUUGGCUUCAAAAUACAUCCUGUGUUUCACACAAAAAAGUUGCGACAGGUUGAGACAUUUGGGUAUACUUCAUGAUGCGGUUCCUCAUCAUGUUGAUAGAGUCGGG
This is a non-coding RNA of Lactuca sativa (garden lettuce), 420 nucleotides long. The record is from RefSeq and is a predicted model, not a curated record. NCBI's taxonomy places the organism in Eukaryota, Viridiplantae, Streptophyta, Magnoliopsida, Asterales, Asteraceae.